UACGUAGGGUGCGAGCGUUAAUCGGAAUUACUGGGCGUAAAGCGUGCGCAGGCGGUUCGUCGUGUCUGGUGUGAAAGCCCCGGGCUCAACCUGGGAAUGGCAUGGGAAACUGGCGAACUGGAGUGUGGCAGAGGGGGGUGGAAUUCCGCGUGUAGCAGUGAAAUGCGUAGAGAUGCGGAGGAACACCGAUGGCGAAGGCAGCCCCCUGGGCUGACACUGACGCUCAGGCACGAAAGCGUGGGGAGCAAACAGG
This 253-nucleotide ribosomal RNA is filed under the name uncultured bacterium. RNAcentral's name for it is "partial 16S ribosomal RNA". It matches the Rfam family "Bacterial small subunit ribosomal RNA", at positions 524 to 776 of the family's 1533-position model. The record is from RNAcentral.